Small nuclear RNA from Nycticebus coucang (slow loris), 107 nucleotides. The record is from RefSeq and is a predicted model, not a curated record. NCBI's taxonomy places the organism in Eukaryota, Metazoa, Chordata, Mammalia, Primates, Lorisidae.
GUGCACGCUUCGGCAGCACUUACACUAAAAUUGGAACAGUAUGGAGAAGAUUAGCGUGGCCCCUGCCCAAGGAUGACAUGCACAUUCGUGAAACGGUCCAUAUUUUU